GACAGAGGGUGCAAACGUUGUUCGGAAUUACUGGGCGUAAAGCGCGUGUAGGCGGCUAUGCAAGUCGGAUGUGAAAGCCCUCGGCUCAACCGGGGAAGUGCACCCGAAACUGCAAAGCUAGAGUCUCGGAGAGGAUCGUGGAAUUCUCGGUGUAGAGGUGAAAUUCGUAGAUAUCGAGAGGAACACCGGUGGCGAAGGCGGCGAUCUGGACGAUGACUGACGCUGAGACGCGAAAGCGUGGGGAGCAAACAGGAUUAGAUACCCUGGUAGUCCACGCCGUAAACGAUGGGUGCUAGGUGUCGCGGGCUUUGACCCCUGCGGUGCCGCAGCUAACGCAUUAAGCACCCCGCCUGGGAAGUACGGCCGCAAGGCUAAA
RNAcentral lists this ribosomal RNA (376 nucleotides) under uncultured bacterium. RNAcentral's name for it is "bacterial SSU rRNA". It matches the Rfam family "Bacterial small subunit ribosomal RNA", at positions 524 to 898 of the family's 1533-position model. The record is from RNAcentral.